UGCAAGUCGAACGCACUAGCAAUACUGAGUGGCAAACGGGUGAGUAUAAUGUGGGAAUCUGCCUUUUGGUUUGGAAUAACACGGGGAAACUUGUGCUAAUACCGGAUAAGCCCUUACGGGGAAAGUUUUAACGCCGAAAGAUGAGCCUGCACUUGAUUAGCUAGUUGGUAAGGUAAAAGCUUACCAAGGCGACGAUCAAUAGCUGUUCUUAGAGGAAGACCAGCCACAUUGGGACUGAGACACGGCCCAGACUCCUACGGGAGGCAGCAGUGGGGAAUCUUGCACAAUGGGGGAUACCCUGAUGCAGCGAUGCCGCGUGAGUGAAGAAGGCCUUUGGGUUGUAAAACUCUUUCGUCGGGGAAGAAAAUGACUGUACCCGAAUAAGAAGGUCCGGCUAACUUCGUGCCAGCAGCCGCGGUAAUACGAAGGGACCUAGCGUAGUUCGGAAUUACUGGGCUUAAAGAGCUCGUAGGUGGUUAAAAAAGUUGAUGGUGAAAUCCCAAGGCUCAACCUUGGAACUGCCAUCAAAACUUUUUAGCUAGAGUGUGAUAGAGGUAAGUGGAAUUUCUAGUGUAGAGGUGAAAUUCGUAGAUAUUAGAAAGAACACCAAAUGCGAAGGCAACUUACUGGGUCACUACUGACACUGAGGAGCGAAAGCAUGGGUAGCGAAGAGGAUUAGAUACCCUCGUAGUCCAUGCCGUAAACGAUGUGUGCU
This 715-nucleotide ribosomal RNA is filed under the name uncultured Alphaproteobacteria bacterium. RNAcentral describes it as "bacterial SSU rRNA". It matches the Rfam family "Bacterial small subunit ribosomal RNA", at positions 56 to 817 of the family's 1533-position model. The record is from RNAcentral. Lineage: Bacteria; Pseudomonadati; Pseudomonadota; Alphaproteobacteria.